AUGGGAAUAAAACAGGGUAUGCAUACCCUCUUGUAUGUACCAUAUGAAUAAGGAUCGGCUAACUCCGUGCCAGCAGCCGCGGUAAUACGGAGGAUCCGAGCGUUAUCCGGAUUUAUUGGGUUUAAAGGGAGCGUAGGUGGAUUGUUAAGUCAGUUGUGAAAGUUUGCGGCUCAACCGUAAAAUUGCAGUUGAAACUGGCAGUCUUGAGUACAGUAGAGGUGGGCGGAAUUCGUGGUGUAGCGGUGAAAUGCUUAGAUAUCACGAAGAACUCCGAUUGCGAAGGCAGCUCACUGGACUGCAACUGACACUGAUGCUCGAAAGUGUGGGUAUCAAACAGGAUUAGAUACCCUGGUAGUCCACACAGUAAACGAUGAAUACUCGCUGUUUGCGAUAUACAGUAA
RNAcentral lists this ribosomal RNA (401 nucleotides) under uncultured bacterium. Its description in RNAcentral is "bacterial SSU rRNA". It matches the Rfam family "Bacterial small subunit ribosomal RNA", at positions 440 to 842 of the family's 1533-position model. The record is from RNAcentral.